This is a long non-coding RNA of Phyllostomus discolor (pale spear-nosed bat), 182 nucleotides long. RefSeq lists it as uncharacterized. The transcript has 4 exons. The record is from RefSeq and is a predicted model, not a curated record. NCBI's taxonomy places the organism in Eukaryota, Metazoa, Chordata, Mammalia, Chiroptera, Phyllostomidae.
AGUUGUCUUGGGCCACACACUAAAUACACACACACUAAUGACAACUGGUGAGCAAAAAUAAAGGUUUUAAGUAAAUUUAUGAUCUUGUGUUGGGCCGCAUCCAUUGCCAUCCUGGGCUGCGUGUGGCCCAUGGGCCGCGGGUUGGACGCCCCUGCCAGUAUACCUACAAAUUAGGAAACAGG